Long non-coding RNA from Passer domesticus (house sparrow), 2298 nucleotides. RefSeq lists it as uncharacterized. The transcript has 6 exons. The record is from RefSeq and is a predicted model, not a curated record. Lineage: Eukaryota; Metazoa; Chordata; Aves; Passeriformes; Passeridae.
GAAAAAAGAAAGGCUGGAAUCAGUAAUUCACUGAGGAGGCACCAUCCAUCCUUUAUCCAGGCAAGGUGAAACUUCAUCUGGUCAUCAGGGAAAGGGGCACAACAUCUGGACAGAGGUAGAAGACAGACUUUCUGCUGCCCUGUCCUAACUGCUGUCGUCUAGCUGAGCCUGAAAACUCAGGUGAGGGCACAAAUGGGGAUUAAUGAGCAAAUGUGGAUUAAUGAGCUGUUUUCAGGAAAAGGAAAUGCUCCAGGGAAGAAGGAAGCUGUGAACUGGGAUCAAAAUGAUCACUACCUUGGGCAUCUUUCCUGUUACGCCUGCCUUCAGAAUUCACCACUUCUUUCUGUUCAUGGUGGGGCUUGUGUGCUCUCAGCUAAAAAGAAACAUGAAGAUUUAAAAGAUACAGAAAUAAGUCUGAGACCUGGAGAGUUCAUGCAUGCACAAUGUGUGUAAAUCUACAACAGUAUCCACUAUUGCUGCUUCUGAAGAACAAGAGUUACUUCAAUGGCACAGAGGUUUCAGAUAGUUGACAAACCAGCUCCUGCACACUCUGUGUUGAAACCUUCUGAAGUGUAACAACUGAGGAUCCAUUUUGCUUAAUCAGACUCUCAAGCGGGUGACCAACGUACUUCCAACAACCCGAGCAGAUGCAGGACUUAAAAUCAGAUGCCAAACUUGACAGAGGAAAGAUAAAAAUGAAACAUAUUAUUACACUGGAUUUCAAAAAAGAAGUGAAAAUAUGAAGAAUGAUUGCAUAAAAUUUAUUUUGCUUGCACUAAUAAUGUCAACUGAGCAGGAUAAACACAGCUUCCAAGCUAUUUGAAAGAAGAAAAUUAAUUAUUAUAGUGUGCCAAGAGAAUGCAUGAUGUUACUAGUCCUUGGUUUUUUCCCAAUUACAGAAUACUUAGGUUCUGGAAGAAUAAAAGUUAAGUGUGCUUGUAUUGGCAUGUAGGGAACAUAAGGUAAAUAAUGUGCAGAUAGCAAUAGAAAAUUGUGAAGACCAAAUAUUAUCACUGUGUGCACCAUCACCAAUGAUUAUUUCUCUGGAGGACAGUCUGACUCAAUGGCAGGAGGACAACAUAUGAUUAUCUCACUUUCCCUCCCCCUUUGAAAACAAGGGAUUAAUUCUGAAAUUUUAAAUUUGGGCUUACUACAAUUGAUACAUUUUAGAAUGUAUUUUAGAAUGCUAAUGUUGGUUAGAUUUAGAGAGCUCAGUAUCUAUCUUGAUCACUAUAGAUAUAUCUGCAUUUCACGUGCUUGAAACCUCAUAACUACUUCUUUUAGUAGUACCAGUUGCUGCCUUUUUCCCAACCUGGAAAUGAAACUCUAGAAAAUUUUAGUAAGAAGGCAAUAUAAAAGAGGAUCUUUAAAGAAAGCCUUCAGGGGCAGUUAUGGAAAGGUGUCCACAAAAGCCCACCUCUACCAUGAUGAAUACACAUUUAUAGGUAUUAGGAAAUUAGGAUAAUUGAUAAAGAGCACCAAUUAGGAGCACAAGUGGUGAUGCAAUUCCCCCCCUGGUCAAGCCCCUUCUCUGGAGCCCCCCCCUCAGCACUAGCUGUACUUUGUCCAUGAAAUGUAUCUCAAAGAGUUGUUCUCAACCUUGGUUCCCAGAAAGAACACCAGGGCCUUGUACCUCCCAGGGUUUGGAGCUUUGGAAUUUUUGUCUUUCUUUCUAGGGAAAGGCCAUGGAAAAACACUGGGAAAACUAGCCACUUAUACAAUAAGCUACAUAACUACAAAUAUAUGUGUGAAGAAUACAGAAAACAUAAAAAAGGGAAAAAAAUUGGCAAAAUCCAAACCAGUAUCACAGUCAUUUCCUAUCUGUAAAGACUGGUAAUGCUCCUUACUUUGGGCUGGUAAAAUACUGUUAGUUAGAGCCAUCUUUAUAAUUUAGUUCAAUUUUUUAUGCCAAAAUAACUUUUCCUCUCCCAUAACCAAUGUUACCAUAACCAAUAUUACCAAUUUGAAACUGUAGCAGUUCCAGUGUAUGAUUAUGUUCUUCAGAAUAAUCCUGAUAAUGUCAGUGUUUAUCUUUUCAAGUUGUUUUUGUUUGUUUCUUUGUUUUCCUUUCUUGCAUGUAAUCUAAAACUGUAGCUUGGAGUUCUGUGUAUGACAGAAAGAAAACUUCUACUCAGUUCAAUAUUCUCUCUUGUGUGAUUUGCAAUCCUCCAUAACUAAUCAAUAAUGUUAUCACAACACAUUUUCCUUAAGUCUCUCAAAGAUAAGAACAAAGUAAAGUUUUGGGAAGUUUUGCUUUUUUUAUCCGAGAGAAGAUUUGAGGUAUUUAAAAUACUAAAU